GGGUGGUAAAUUUCAUCUAAAGCUAAAUACUGGUCGGAGACCGAUAGCGCACAAGUAGAGUGAUCGAAAGAUGAAAAGCACUUUGAAAAGAGAGUUAAACAGCAUGUGAAAUUGUUGAAAGGGAAGCGCUUGCGACCAGAGUCGGCCGCGGGGGUUCAGCGGGCAUUCGUUGCCCGUGCACUCCCCCGGGGCCGGGCCAGCGUCGGUUUCGACGGCCGGUCAAAGGCCCCCGGAAUGUGUCGCCUCUCGGGGCGUCUUAUAGCCGGGGGUGCAAUGCGGCCAGUCGGGACCGAGGAACGCGCUUCGGCACGGACGCUGGCUUAAUGGUCGUAAGCGACCCGUCUUGAAACACGGAC
RNAcentral lists this ribosomal RNA (356 nucleotides) under [Emmonsia] sp. AB-2012-1. Its description in RNAcentral is "eukaryotic LSU rRNA". It matches the Rfam family "Eukaryotic large subunit ribosomal RNA", at positions 294 to 666 of the family's 3401-position model. Lineage: Eukaryota; Fungi; Ascomycota; Eurotiomycetes; Onygenales; Ajellomycetaceae. RNAcentral also lists the same sequence under 1 other name. The record is from RNAcentral.